UAUUUCCCUAGACCGGCGCACGGGUGAGUAACGCGUAUGCAACCUGCCCUUUACAGGGGGAUAGCCCGGAGAAAUCCGGAUUAAUACCCCAUAGACCUGCAGUUCCGCAUGGGACAACAGGUAAAGCUUCGGCGGUAAAGGAUGGGCAUGCGUGACAUUAGCUAGUUGGCGGGGUAACGGCCCACCAAGGCUACGAUGUCUAGGGGUUCUGAGAGGAAGGUCCCCCACACUGGUACUGAGACACGGACCAGACUCCUACGGGAGGCAGCAGUGAGGAAUAUUGGUCAAUGGGCGAGAGCCUGAACCAGCCAUCCCGCGUGCAGGAAGAAGGCCCUAUGGGUUGUAAACUGCUUUUACGCAAGAAGAAUGGUACCCUCGUGAGGGUAUUUGACGGUACUGCGUGAAUAAGCACCGGCUAACUCCGUGCCAGCAGCCGCGGUAAUACGGAGGGUGCAAGCGUUAUCCGGAUUUAUUGGGUUUAAAGGGUGCGUAGGCGGUAUUAUAAGUCAGUGGUGAAAUGUUGCAGCUUAACUGUAAAAUUGCCAUUGAAACUGCAGUACUUGAGUUAUCUUGAAGUAGGCGGAAUGUGUAGUGUAGCGGUGAAAUGCUUAGAUAUUACACAGAACACCGAUUGCGAAGGCAGCUUACUAAGGGUAUACUGACGCUGAGGCACGAAAGCGUGGGGAUCGAACAGGAUUAGAUACCCUGGUAGUCCACGCCGUAGACGAUGAUAACUCGCUGUU
RNAcentral lists this ribosomal RNA (743 nucleotides) under uncultured bacterium. Its description in RNAcentral is "bacterial SSU rRNA". It matches the Rfam family "Bacterial small subunit ribosomal RNA", at positions 83 to 824 of the family's 1533-position model. The record is from RNAcentral.